Molecule: RNA transcript, 2759 nt
Organism: Oncorhynchus gorbuscha (pink salmon)
Lineage: Eukaryota; Metazoa; Chordata; Actinopteri; Salmoniformes; Salmonidae
Gene name: dual specificity protein kinase CLK2-like
Exons: 13
Source: RefSeq, a predicted model, not a curated record
UCAGGAUGGUUUGUACGAGGUUAGAGCCCUAGCUAGCUGAACCAAUAGUGAGAAGUGAAAACUAGGAAUUGAAGCGCAAACACGGAUUUCCUGUGGGAUAAACGCACAGGCCUGGCUGAUAUAACGAUGCCACACUCGAGACGGUACCCAUCCUCAGAAAGGGCCAGCCGGAGCAGUUAUCAAGACCGGGACAGAGACAGAGGACGCAAGCAGAGGCACCGCAGAUCGCCCUCUUUUUCCUCUAGCAGUGACAGGGAGAGGGAUCGGGACAGAGACAGAAGGGGACGGGGAAACCGACAGGAGGGAAGCUACGCUCGCUCCAGGAGCUACGAUAAUCGCUCGGCAGACCGCAGGCCAUACGACCGGCGCUACUGUGAGGGCUACCGCCGCCUGGACCAGAGCCACGAACGAGACCGCGGAAACCGGGAAAGGGAACAUGGAGGUGCUCCAGCAGCAGCCGACGGCGGUUACUACGCACGUGACUUCUCACCGAGCAUGUGCGACUACCGGAGGGGGCGCGAGAGGGAACGGGAGGAGUCGUACCGAAGGAAGGGCAGCAGGCGUAAGCACAAACGAAGGCGGCGUAGAACCAGGUCCUAUAGCCCAUCCUCCUCGCGGAGUGACAGCCGGACGCGGGCACUGAGUGUGAGGGACGACGAGGAAGGGCACCUGAUCUGUCGGAGUGGGGACGUCCUGCAAGAGAGAUAUGAGAUUGUCAGCACUCUGGGGGGAAGGCACCUUUGGGAGGGUGAUGCAAUGUAUUGACCAUUGUCGGGGAGGGGCCGCUGUUGCUCUGAAGAUCAUAAAAAAUGUGGAGAAAUACAAGGAAGCAGCUCGUCUGGAGAUCAAUGUGCUGGAGAGAAUCAAUGAGAAAGAUCCGGAAAACAAACACCUGUGUGUGCAGAUGUAUGACUGGUUCGACUACCACGGCCACAUGUGUAUCUCCUUCGAGCUGCUGGCCCUCAGCACCUUCGACUUCCUCAAGGAGAACAACUACCUGCCCUAUUCCAUUGCCCAGGUCCGACACAUGGCCUACCAGCUAUGCCUGUCCGUCAAGUUUCUUCAUGAUACCAAGUUGACGCACACAGACCUGAAGCCAGAAAACAUCCUGUUUGUCAAUUCCGACUUCACUAUGACCUAUAAUGUAGAGAAGAAGCGCGACGAGCGGACAGUGAAGAGCACGGACGUACGGGUGGUGGACUUUGGCAGCGCCACAUUUGACCACGAGCACCACAGCACCAUCGUCUCCACACGGCACUACCGUUCCCCGGAAGUCAUACUAGAGCUGGGCUGGAGCCAGCCGUGUGAUGUGUGGAGCAUCGGUUGCAUCCUGUUCGAGUACUACCUGGGCUUCACCUUGUUCCAGACUCAUGAUAACAGGGAGCAUCUGGCCAUGAUGGAGAGAAUACUGGGGCCGGUGCCCUCCAGGAUGAUACGCAAGACAAGGAAGCAGAAAUAUUUUUACCGUGGCCGUCUGGACUGGGACGAGAGCUCGUCAGCUGGGAGAUACGUGAGGGAGAACUGCAAACCCUUACGGAGGUACCUGUUGUCGGAAGCCGAGGAGCACCAUCGGUUGUUUGACCUGAUUGAGAGCAUGCUGGAAUACGAGCCCGCUAAACGCCUGGCCCUGGCAGACUCCCUCAGACACCCUUUCUUCGAAUCGGGGACAGCAGGCGAUGCGGUGGGGGGGAAGAGCUGGGAGGGCAACCGCGACAUCAGCCGGUGACCCGGGACCUCCACAGACUCUUAACAAUAGAGCGAUUUUUCAGGUGGAGCAGACCGAUACGACCACUUAAGGCGGUACGGCCAAAUUUGAUGGACCUUAUCAGUCUGUCUGAAAUCCCUUGGCCAUUCAUCACAGCAUGGACCCGUUUCCUCCUGCUUUCUGUACUGCCCCCACCCAUCUCCACAAUUAGGAGAGAGGCUCAUGCUGGCAGCUAGAAAACCAGAAGGACUUCAGAAAAAGACAGCCCUCCUUUUAGUCCUCUCGGCUUCUGCUCCAACAGAAGGCAUAUGACCAAGAGGGGAGUUUUUAGCCCAACCUUAGAUUACCCAGCUCCAGUCUUCCGCAUGUAAAGGAAAGGACCGGCCUUGGGUAGUGGAACACUAGUGAGAGCAAGAGAAGCCUUGCUCUGAAAGCCAAUAUCGUGACCUCUUCAUUUGAGGUGAAACGCUUGGAGAAGAGGGGCACUGUCUUGUAUUUAUUUGGAAACUCAGCUAUCAAUCUUGGCUAAUGUUAGCCAAUCGACUGGCACGUUUUGUCAAUGAGUGAUUGCCACUCCACAUUUAUUGCUUAUAUAGGCCUCUCCUAUUGAUAUAAUAUAUCUACUGUAUCUCUGUUACGUUAUGCAAUGCUUCUGAGGAGAGGGAUUGAUGCCAUAUUAAUGUAAUAAUAGUAGUCACAACUGGACAUGUUUUCUCAGCUGGUCUUCAUCUAGUCUGGGGAAAUGACAGACACUCACAAAUCAGACCCCAUACAACACAAACUGCAAACUGCCUUUGACAUGUGUGAUAGUAUCAGGCCUGUGGUCUGAGAUGAAGCACACACAGGGUCAUAAUAGUAACGUAUGCCACAGGCACACAGCAGCACACGGUUUACAGUAUUUAUUAUGAGACGCUACCGCUGUUCAUCUCCUCCCUGUACAUUUGUUUUUUUGUAUAAGAUUUAAAUUUAUAAAACUACGUAUGAUUGUCGAAUUAAAGUUAAGUCCUCCUUUGCCAAGGCUUGUAGCGCCAUGGGGAGGCGUUUUUCUCUUAAA